Molecule: ribosomal RNA, 466 nt
Filed under: uncultured bacterium
Lineage: Bacteria
Description: bacterial SSU rRNA
Rfam family: Bacterial small subunit ribosomal RNA
Source: RNAcentral
AACGAACGUUGGCGGCGUGGAUUAGGCAUGCAAGUCGAACGAGAACCGUAGCAAUACGGGGAAAGUGGCGAAAGGGGCAGUAAGGCAUGGGUAAUCUACCUCGGGGACGUGGAUAGCCAUCCUAACGGUUGGGUAAUACACGGCGAUUCGGCGAGGAGGCGUCUUCUUGCCGGGAAAUGAAUUUCGCCUCGGGAGGAGCUCAUGUGAUAUUAGCUUGUUGGCGGGGUAACGGCCCACCAAGGCUCAGAUGUCUAGCGGGUGUGAGAGCACGACCCGCGCCACUGGCACUGAGACACUGGCCAGACACCUACGGGUGGCUGCAGUCGAGGAUCUUCGGCAAUGGGCGCAAGCCUGACCGAGCGACGCCGCGUGUGCGACGAAGGCCUUCGGGUUGUAAAGCACUGUCGAGGGGGAGAAAGCCGCAAGGUUGAUCGAUCCCUGGAGGAAGCACGGGCUAAGUUCGUGC